This 468-nucleotide ribosomal RNA is filed under the name uncultured bacterium. RNAcentral describes it as "partial 16S ribosomal RNA". It matches the Rfam family "Bacterial small subunit ribosomal RNA", at positions 28 to 507 of the family's 1533-position model. The record is from RNAcentral.
GACGAACGCUGGCGGCGUGCUUAACACAUGCAAGUCGAAUGGAAAGGCCCUGCUUUUGUGGGGUGCUCGAGUGGCGAACGGGUGAGUAACACGUGAGUAACCUGCCCUUGACUUUGGGAUAACUUCAGGAAACUGGGGUUAAUACCGGAUAGGAGCUCCUGCUGCAUGGUGGGGGUUGGAAAGUUUCGGCGGGUGGGGAUGGACUCGCGGCUUAUCAGCUUGUUGGUGGGGUAGUGGCUUACCAAGGCUUUGACGGGUAGCCGGCCUGAGAGGGUGACCGGCCACAUUGGGCCUGAGAUACGGCCCAGACUCCUACGGGGGGCAGCGGUGGGGAAUAUUACACAGUGGGCCGCAGCCUGUUGCAGCGACGCCGCGUGCGUGAUGACCGCCUUCGGGUUGUGAACCGCUUUCGCCUGUGACGAAGCGUGAGUGACGGUAAUGAGUAAAGAAGCACCGGCUAACUACGUG